UUACGGCCUUAUCAAUUUGAAACACAGGUUCUAGUACGAUCAACAAAGUUAAACAGCGUCGCACGUAGUCAGUAUUUCGAUGUGUGACCGCUUGGGAAUACCAGGUGUUGUAA
Acanthosepion pharaonis is the source of this 113-nucleotide non-coding RNA. Lineage: Eukaryota; Metazoa; Mollusca; Cephalopoda; Sepiida; Sepiidae. The record is from the annotation of a GenBank genome assembly.